UAAAGUUAUGGCCCAGGACUUCCUGUUUUCCCAUAUACCACACCCAGACAAAUGGAGCAGGCAUCAGGCAUAACUACCAGCCAAAAACACCUAAUAACAUCACACCUACAAGGGCACGCAGCAGUAAUCAACAUGAGACCAGGGGCAAGACACAGCCUGACCUAGUUACGGUCAAUUACAAUGGGCCAGUCUUAUACCAGCCACCACAGUUAUACGGGACACUCAAAACAACAGGCACCAGCAUAUACCGUGGCUAAAACUGUAACAAGCCAAAUUAAGAAACAGCCAACACCGACAUGUAAAACAAGGGUCCAAUGGGAAACCCACCACUUAACACUCAAUGGAUUUUUGACCCACAAAAGUUAGGAUACAAACUAGGAUUAGACACCUUACUAUGCCCAACCAUAAACAUCGUCUGGCCAGAAAAAUACUAGCAAAAGCCAGAAUCUCAAGGGACUCGAAGGUGUUCUACACCCCCUAGAGGAGCCUGUCCUAUAACUGAUAACCCACGAUAAACCUCACCACUCCUAGACCAUUCAGCAUAUAUACCUUCGUUGUCAGUCUGUCUUUAAGAACAGUGGACUAAACCGAUUAAAGUGCAAAAACGUCAGGUCAAGGUGUAGCUUACGUCGGGGGAGGGGAGAGAUGGGCUACAUUACCACUAAUACUGGUCACUCAGGGAACAUAAUCUGAAAUAAGUUAUAAAAAAAGAGAAUUUAGCAGUAAGAAACCCUGCCCUGGAACGUGUACACACCACUUGUCACCCCCAUCAACACCACCAAAAAUAUACAUAAUACCACUUUCAAAACAGGAAGGGGAAAGUCGUAACAUGGUAAGCGUACCGGAAGGUGCGCUUGGAAGA
This 862-nucleotide ribosomal RNA is filed under the name Leiolepis rubritaeniata. Its description in RNAcentral is "12S ribosomal RNA". Lineage: Eukaryota; Metazoa; Chordata; Lepidosauria; Squamata; Agamidae. The record is from RNAcentral.